This 500-nucleotide ribosomal RNA is filed under the name uncultured bacterium. RNAcentral describes it as "bacterial SSU rRNA". It matches the Rfam family "Bacterial small subunit ribosomal RNA", at positions 9 to 504 of the family's 1533-position model. The record is from RNAcentral.
GAGUUUGAUCUUGGCUCAGAUUGAACGCUGGCGGCAGGCCUAACACAUGCAAGUCGAGCGGUAGAGAGAAGCUUGCUUCUCUUGAGAGCGGCGGACGGGUGAGUAAUGCCUAGGAAUCUGCCUGGUAGUGGGGGAUAACGCUCGGAAACGGACGCUAAUACCGCAUACGUCCUACGGGAGAAAGCAGGGGACCUUCGGGGCCUUGCGCUAUCAGAUGAGCCUAGGUCGGAUUAGCUAGUUGGCGAGGUAAUGGCUCACCAAGGCGACGAUCCGUAACUGGUCUGAGAGGAUGAUCAGUCACACUGGAACUGAGACACGGUCCAGACUCCUACGGGAGGCAGCAGUGGGGAAUAUUGGACAAUGGGCGAAAGCCUGAUCCAGCCAUGCCGCGUGUGUGAAGAAGGUCUUCGGAUUGUAAAGCACUUUAAGUUGGGAGGAAGGGCAGUAAAUUAAUACUUUGCUGUUUUGACGUUACGACAGAAUAAGCACCGGCUAACUCU